This 448-nucleotide ribosomal RNA is filed under the name Chloroflexi bacterium canine oral taxon 306. RNAcentral describes it as "bacterial SSU rRNA". It matches the Rfam family "Bacterial small subunit ribosomal RNA", at positions 9 to 481 of the family's 1533-position model. The record is from RNAcentral. Lineage: Bacteria; Bacillati; Chloroflexota.
GAGUUUGAUCAUGGCUCAGGAUGAACGCUGGCGGCGUGCCUAAUACAUGCAAGUCGAACGGGUGCAGCGAUGUACUAGUGGCGAACGGGUGAGUAACACGUUGGUGACCUGCCCCAAAGAGGGGAAUACCACUUGGAAACGAGUGACAAAACCGCAUAAGCUGUCUCAGAUUAGAAGGGAGACAGUAAAAGAGAAAUCUACUUUGGGAGGGGCCUGCGGCCCAUCAGCUAGUUGGAGAGGUAACGGCUCACCAAGGCGAAGACGGGUAGGGGACCUGAGAGGGUGAUCCCCCACAAUGGAACUGAAACACGGUCCAUACACCUGCGGGUGGCAGCAGUAGGGAAUAUUGCUUAAUGGGCGAAAGCCUGAAGCAGCAACGCCGCGUGAACGAAGAAGGCCUUCGGGUCGUAAAGUUCUUUUANCGUGGGAUGAGGAAGGANCGUACCAC